ACGUAGGUCCAAAUGGCCCUGAAUGCGACUAAUGUCUACGGAUCUGGGAAGCUAGGUAGGUUUGAGCCUGGUUAUUACUUGGAUGGGAGACUGCCCGAGAAUGCCACAUUGUACGCU
Molecule: ribosomal RNA, 117 nt
Filed under: Petromyzon marinus (sea lamprey)
Lineage: Eukaryota; Metazoa; Chordata; Hyperoartia; Petromyzontiformes; Petromyzontidae
Source: RNAcentral